AGCAGCCGCGGUAAUUCCAGCUCCAAUAGCGUAUAUUAAAGUUGUUGCAGUUAAAAAGCUCGUAGUUGAAUUUCGGGAUCAAAGGAUCGGUCAUGCCUUGGUAUGUACUGGUUUUAUUGGUUCUCACCCUCUAAAGAACCAUAAUGUCAUUCAUUUGAUGUUAUGGGGAAUUAGGACUGUUACCUUGAAAAAAUUAGAGUGUUUAAAGCAGGCUUACGCUUGAAUACAUUAGCAUGGAAUAAUGAAAUAGGACAUCAGAUUCUAUUUUGUUGGUUUCUAGGAUCGAUGUAAUGAUUAAUAGGGAUAGUUGGGGGCAUUAGUAUUCAAUUGUCAGAGGUGAAAUUCUUGGAUUUAUUGAAGACUAACUACUGCGAAAGCAUUUGCCAAGGAUGUUUUCAUUAAUCAAGAACGAAAGUUAG
This 419-nucleotide ribosomal RNA is filed under the name uncultured Glomeromycotina. RNAcentral's name for it is "SSU rRNA". It matches the Rfam family "Eukaryotic small subunit ribosomal RNA", at positions 569 to 993 of the family's 1831-position model. Lineage: Eukaryota; Fungi; Glomeromycota. The record is from RNAcentral.